Long non-coding RNA from Apodemus sylvaticus (European woodmouse), 750 nucleotides. RefSeq lists it as uncharacterized. The transcript is spliced from 2 exons. NCBI's taxonomy places the organism in Eukaryota, Metazoa, Chordata, Mammalia, Rodentia, Muridae. The record is from RefSeq and is a predicted model, not a curated record.
CAAAGUAUGGCUGCUUAGCCUGGGGUUGACCUCAAACUCACACCACUAUGCCUGGCUAUGAUUUUUUUUCUUAAGUAGAAUCAACUUCAGCACGUUCAUUGUAAAGGCGUCUGCUUCCCGAGUGGUCCGACUGCAGGCCUGUGUUUGUGUGAUGCUGUGACAGAACCCAAGGCGCUAUGCGAGCUAGACAGGAGUCUAGCAUGGCUGUUCUCUGAGAAGCUCCACCCAGCAGCUGACUCAAGUGGAUGCAGAGACCCACAGCCAAACAGUGGAUGCAACUUGGGAACUCUUAUGGAAGAAUAGAAGGAAGGAUUGUUUAUGGCCCUGAAGGGGAUAGGAACUCCAUAGGAAGACCAACAGAGUCAACUAACCUGGGGCUCUCAGAGACUGAACCACCAACCAAAGAGCAAACACAGGUUGGACCUAUCCCACCUCUACAUGUGUAGCAGAUGUGCAGCUUGGUCUUCAUGUGGGUCCCAAACAACUGCAGCAGGGGCUGUCCCAAAAGCUGUUGCCUGUCCAUGGGAUAUGUUCUUCUAACUGGGCUACCUUGUCUGGCCUCCAUGGGAGAGGAUGCACCUAGCCCAGAAGAGACUUGAUUGUCAGAGUGCAGGGUGCUACCCAGGAGGGUCCCUACCUGGUCAGAGGAGAAGAAGAGGGGAUGGGGGAAAGAUGGCAGGUGACUGGGUGGGGACAGUGAGUGGGAUGCAAAGUGAAUAAAGAAAUAACGAUAAAUAAAUUUUAAAAAGA